RNAcentral lists this long non-coding RNA (2329 nucleotides) under Nicotiana benthamiana. RNAcentral describes it as "long non-coding RNA (NBEN_LNC026179)". The record is from RNAcentral. Lineage: Eukaryota; Viridiplantae; Streptophyta; Magnoliopsida; Solanales; Solanaceae.
CUUAAGAAAAAUUUAUGAUAGCUGGAGCGUUCAUGAUUGAUAGAGACAACUAAAUCAUAGUUAUAAGACAUAUACAACCAAAGAAAUUACCAACGGGGGAACCCAUUACCUUAGACCUUAUUCCAACUGUCUACACAUCGAGCAUAGUUACUUUUCAGCUGUUAAUUACUUUCAGUCUUUGGUUGUUAGAAAAAUCAACCCUUGUGAAUCAAAUAGUUUGGGGAAAUAGAUUGUGUGAAUUUAGUAAAUCUAUAAUAGUAAUUGAUAGAUUAAUUCUCAAUGGUUUGACUCUGGGCACACAUACUUAGAUUAUAUUUGCAACGGCUGCGUAGUCUUUUGCGAGACUCAGUUGAGCGUGAUCUGUAGUCUUGGCUUUCAGCGGAUAAGAAUACGAAUUCAGAAUACAAGAGUAACAAGUAGGGAGGAUGGACAAAAAUUCCUAGAAUGAUCAUACAGCACAACUGGUCAAGUAGACUAGCAAAUUCAAGCCAGGUUCAUAUAGUCAAAGUACCAUAUAAAUAGUCAUCAUAGGAAUUAGGAGAAGAAAUAGGUUUCCUAACAUAGGUUGCAAUAGUUGGCAUUUAAGGGUCUGGAUUAAGUUAAGUCAAAUCUGAUUCCACAUUAAUUAAUACUUGGACAUAAUAGAGGGAUAAACAUAUUAGCAAUUACAGUAAAGAGAGAAUAGCAAAUGAACCAUAACAUACUGAAGACAUGUUAGCAUAAGAGUAAGUUCCUAGUUAUCAAAUAUAUUGUUUAUCUUUUAGAAAACCAGGAUAGCAUGAAACAAGCUUAGUACAGAUUUUUAGGCAGCAUUAAAGAGCAUUCUAAUAUACACAGGACUUAGUAAAAUGUUCAUUCAAGUGAAAAAAAAGGGAAAUAUCUAUAAAGUUAAGAUACUAUCUAAACACAAUAUGCAGAAACAACAUAUAACCACAAUAGUUAGACUCAUGUUGAAGUGAUCCAAAAUUAAACGUGUUAAGAUGCUACAAGGUACAGAAGCAGUCUUAGGAGAUAAGAGAUCACAUAAUGCAAAUCGCAGUGAAGCAUACGACACGCAGUAGACUGAUUACUCUAAGAAAGUUAUAGAUUAUGUUGAGUAUUAGUAAUAGCACAACAUUUAGACAUGAGAAGAGCAGAUUACCAUUACUGGUGAAACAAAGAUGAAGGUUAAAUAUGCUAAAUGGCAUGCAAAUAAAAAGCACGGUCAAAACAUGUUAGAUAAGCAAACAACCACAGAAAUCUAGAAUUGGUUUACCAUACAAUGAGUGUGUACGUUCAUGCUUUGCACUCAAUCCACUAGUCGACUGAAAGAAGUGCAAAUUAUGCAAGUAAGGCAUAUUCAAAUAAAAGACUAAAUUAAACAGAGAAAUAGCCCUAAACAGUAGUAAUUUUAACACAUUGACUAGUCAUAAUUCAAUAGAACCAGGCGAGCUUGAAACUAAAGCUAAAGAGACCUAAAGAGCAAACAGAAUUACACAUAAACGCAGCCCAGGAAAACAUAUUGAGUUGACUAACUUCAGGAAUGAAAACAUGUACAAACCAUAGAUGCUUAAGAAUGAAAUUGCAAAGUCUAGUAACUCAACAGUUAUGCGAAGAACAAUAAAGAAUAAUUCUUCACAGAAAACCCAGAGUUCAUAAUGAGUCAAAGUUCCUAAGAGCUUCGGUGAACUCAGGGCAUUGCUCGCACUAGGAACGAGUUUAAGAUGUUAAUGGCCUUAGCUUUCAGCUGGCCAGUACAGAAUAACAAGUAAGAGAAUAGCAAAACCUCACAUUUUAGUAAAGGAUCGAUUUCCAAAACUGUCACAAAAGGAAAAAUGAGGAGGUUUAUAUAGUAGUUAAAAAUCUGGCAAACAUAUAAGGACAUAAAGUAAAAUAAACAGUAAACAAGGAAAGAAAACAUGCAAAUCAAUUUAAAAUCGAUUUAAAAGAGAAACCCGGUAAACCCUAGUUUUUUUGGAAAGUGUAAAUCAUAGAAAUCCAAACGAAAUCAGACUCACAUAAUACAUAAUCAAAGGCGUGUAACGAAAUAUAGUGCCGAUUCAAGAAAUAAAUCUCAUUUAGACAGAACUAGAGAGGUAGUACUUGCCAUAUUUAGGCAAGUGCUAGGUGAUACCAUGGAGAAUCAAUCAGUAGAGGUAACACGCAAAUAUGGUAAGUAAAUAAGAGGGAAAUAAAUAAGAGGGAAAUCCCAUUGUAGCCGGGGUUACAAGAAGAUUUUAAGAGGGCGAUGAUUAGGGUUUUUGGUGGAGGAGGAGCAUUUGAGGGCGGCUAGUCAGAGAUACUGGUCUUUAUGGGUUAAGGGUUAGGUUAUAAGAGAGGAGGGGUUGAG